UCAAUUCAAACGCUUUUGCCUCUCACCUUUUCCAAACUCGAAGACGUUGAACCCUAACGCCUCCUCUGAGCGAGUCCUCCAUUAUCACCGGUGAGAUAGCUCCAACCACCACCAAAAUCCGGCCAUGCAAUCAUCACCCAUCCUUGCAUCCUAAACCACCACCGUUCUUCCCAAAAUCCUCGCCAAAAUGGACCCGUUUCAGAUUUGGAAUCGAAGAAGAUGAAAAUCUCUCAAAUCCUCGAGUUCUUGCAAACCAUUGGGCUUGAUAUGAGUAUUGCUCGUUUCUUCUCAAAUAGAACACACGGUUAAUACCGGUUUUGAGUCAAGUUAGAGUCGUUUGAGGUCUUUAAGCAUUGUCCAUAUGGCCUUCGAGGUAUUUUCUUUCUUUUUGCCCUUUCAUCUCCAUCUUCUGUUUGAUCGUAUACUCGUAUCCUUCUGCUUUUUCUCUUUUCUGUCCCCCUUUUUUUACUUGUCCCUCACCCUUUCCUCCAGUUUUUCCUUAGUUGGAUUUCUUUAUUUGAAUUUGGUACGGUAUUAAAAUAUUGAUUAUAAAUUUCUGGGUUUAUAUGGUGGUCGUAUUUAUUAUGUGAGCUUUUCAACAUUUUCUUGUGGACAUUCUCGUGAAUUCUAUUUAGUUUAUUGCCCGCUUAAUUUCUGAUUUUUUGUUUUCAAGUCAUAUAAUUGGUUCUCGCUCAUUCAAAUGUGUACUUUAAUUAUAGCUCAUUAAGAAAUCCAGAGUUGAGCUUAGUUUUAGUUGUGAAAAAUUCAAGUAAUUUCGUUCUUCUAAUUUUCAAAUGAUUUUCUUUUUUGAUAUUGUCUGGGCCUUGAGGUAAUUUUCGAGUCCUUCAUAGAGGUCUGUUAAGUGUUGGGUCAAACUUGACCCAUCAACACUUAAAAGUGGGUCAAUUUGACCCAUAUUUCUGCCCGGCCUAGGGGUACUUCUCAGGUGCUUAAGGGGCAGUUUAGGAACUUAGGCUUAAGGAAAUCUCAGUAACUAACUUAAGAAGCUUCUAGAAAGCUGGGAAGGGGGACUGAUUUGAAGCUCUAAAAUUAAAAUAAAGGACUCCUAAGCAAAAACAAAAUUCCAGAAGGUUUUAAGUACAAAUGUAAAUUCUUUAAGGCUGUCCUAAUGUCUUGCCUAUAAAGGCAUCAUAACUUGGCAUUCAAAUAGAAUUUUUAAGGGAGAAAAAUCUAAAAACUGAAACGACUAAGAAGAAUUGUUCAAAAAUCUGAGAAAUUGGGAAUUUGUAAUCCUUUCAAUAGUUAGAAUUCCUUGGCAACUUUUGAAUCUCGUUCUGGGGUUGGAAUGGAUUUAAAUUGGGGUUUGGAAGGUGCUGGUUCAAGUCCUGUUGUUUGUUUACUGUUCUGUUGAGCUUUUUGAGCUAGUUUCAUUGUUUGAUUGUCGAACCUGGGCUGACUUCUGAUGUUUCUUAUUGCUGAUCCUUCACCUUCUUUUGGCUUUGUUUGUUCACUACCAGGUACACACUUUGAGUCCCAUUGUUUGUGAAGUUGACUAGAAGAAUGAAACAAAACGUAGAAAUUGAUGUAUAGUAUUAGUGUUCUGUUGACUCAGUAGUAUCAUUUCGAUUUUGUUUUCUUGACUAGAUGUGUUAUAUUGGUUGGUUGAGCCUUAACUUGAAUAAGAAGAUCAUUACUAUUAUAUCUAAUUUAGGACUGUCAUGAAACAGGGAGAACAAAUUGUUUGGUUGAAUCGUGAAGUUAACAUUUUACAUAUUUAAAAAUGUAAUGUGAAUGGUAUUGGGUCUUGUUUGCUAUAUAGUUGAAAUAAUCUUUGGUAGCAUGUUGGUUGAUUUUGGAUGAUUAUGUAUUCAUACAAUAGUUUGGCUUAAUGUACUCUUAAAUUUAGUGAGUAUUGAAAUCAUGCAGGGGGGAUGGUCCAGAGUGUUCUAAAGAAUAGAUGCAUGCAUCAGUUUACUUUAUAUUGAUGGUUGACCAUGUUUAAGUCAGAUUGAUUAUUUACAAUACAGAAUGUUUAGCUAACAGGUUAAAAUUCAGAAGAAAAAAUUAGUGCUAUGUCACGUUUCAUAUAACUCCUUGAUUGAUUUGAGAGUGAUUAAUUGUACACAAGGAUUGGGACUCGAGACUU
This 2107-nucleotide long non-coding RNA is filed under the name Nicotiana benthamiana. RNAcentral's name for it is "long non-coding RNA (NBEN_LNC041053)". Lineage: Eukaryota; Viridiplantae; Streptophyta; Magnoliopsida; Solanales; Solanaceae. The record is from RNAcentral.